This 485-nucleotide ribosomal RNA is filed under the name uncultured bacterium. RNAcentral describes it as "partial 16S ribosomal RNA". It matches the Rfam family "Bacterial small subunit ribosomal RNA", at positions 28 to 507 of the family's 1533-position model. The record is from RNAcentral.
GAUGAACGCUGGCGGCGUGCUUAACACAUGCAAGUCGAACGGGAUCCAAGGGGUGCUUGCACUUUUUGGUGAGAGUGGCGAACGGGUGAGUAACACGUGAGUAACCUGUCCUUUUCUUUGGGAUAAGCAUUCGAAAGGGUGUUUAAUACCUUAUGUUCUGUCUGCCUCGCAUGGGGUGGGUGGGAAAGGCUUUGGCCGGAUUUGGGUGGGCUCGCGGUCUAUCAGCUUGUUGGUGGGGUGAUGGCUUACCAAGGCUUUGACGGGUAGCCGGCCUGAGAGGGUGGUCGGUCACAUUGGGACUGAGAUACGGCCCAGACUCCUGCGGGAGGCAGCAGUGGGGGAUAGUGCACAAUGGGCGAAAGCCUGAUGCAGCGACGCCGCGUGGGGGAUGAAGGCCUUCGGGUUGUAAACUUCUUUUGCUCUGAACAAGGCAUGCCAGUGGGUGUGUUGAGUGUAGGGGUUGAUUAGCGCCGGCUAACUACGUG